AUUGAACGCUGGCGGCAUGCCUAACACAUGCAAGUCGAACGGUAACAGGCCUUCGGGCGCUGACGAGUGGCGGACGGGUGAGUAAUACGUAGGAAUCUGCCUUAUAGUGGGGGAUAACUUAGGGAAACUUAAGCUAAUACCGCAUACGCACUACGGUGGAAAGCAGGGGAUCGCAAGACCUUGCGCUAUUAGAUGAGCCUACGUCGGAUUAGCUAGUUGGUAGGGUAAAGGCCUACCAAGGCAACGAUCCGUAGCUGGUC
RNAcentral lists this ribosomal RNA (260 nucleotides) under uncultured bacterium. RNAcentral describes it as "partial 16S ribosomal RNA". It matches the Rfam family "Bacterial small subunit ribosomal RNA", at positions 30 to 292 of the family's 1533-position model. The record is from RNAcentral.